This 253-nucleotide ribosomal RNA is filed under the name uncultured bacterium. RNAcentral's name for it is "partial 16S ribosomal RNA". It matches the Rfam family "Bacterial small subunit ribosomal RNA", at positions 524 to 776 of the family's 1533-position model. The record is from RNAcentral.
UACGAAGGGUGCCAGCGUUAAUCGGAAUUACUGGGCGUAAAGCGUGCGCAGGCGGCUUUGCAAGACAGAUGUGAAAUCCCCGGGCUCAACCUGGGAACUGCAUUUGUGACUGCAAGGCUAGAGUACGGCAGAGGGGGAUGGAAUUCCGCGUGUAGCAGUGAAAUGCGUAGAUAUGCGGAGGAACACCAAUGGCGAAGGCAAUCCCGUGGGCCUGUACUGACGCUCAUGCACGAAAGAGUGGGGAGCAAACAGG